UUUAAAUUAUUUAUUUGAAAUAUAACUUUAAUAAAAUGAUAUUUCUUCACAUGCUUUUCCUUUUUUUUCUGUUCUGUUAAAAGUAUUGGAUACUUUUUUAAUUUUACAACAAUCUUUUACAAAAGGAAAAAGAUCAAUUUAAUAAGAAAUAUAACAGGGAAAAUUUACAAUUCUACAAAUAUGAUAUCUAAUCAGAUAUAACGGAUAUACUCAUAUAAUAAUUUUAUAUGAAAAAAAAUCAAUUCGAAAGACUAAGUCGGAAGAUCAUAUAUUGCUAGACGUAUUCGCGGAUUGUAAAGGAUCGAAGAAGCUCUGUGUUCGUGUAGUUCCUGCACAGUGGAUGAUCUUAUAAGGUGACUCGUAGAUAGAACAGCCAGACAUAAGUGAUUUGGAACGUGGGACCAUAAUAGAACCGGUUAGAAACAUUGUCGAAAACAUAGGCCGCCUGUUCAACCUCCUGAGCCAGAAGGUACGACCAGAUUCAAAUUCGUGAUGCCUUCGGCAUCAAUCACUUUGCCAAGUGAGCAUCUUCUUCGUCAACCCUUUGUUCAGCCCACAACUUUUCCGUCAACGAUUCAUCGUCGUGGUUACUAGAGCCAAAUGGUAAAAUUAUGAGAUAAACCCCAUGCCUCGAGCAGACUAAAUGUAAAUGGAUCUAUGACAGAGGCGUGAAUCAAUAUGAAAUACGCGGGUAAUGUUGAGAUGAAUAGCUGAGAUUAUGUUGGUACCACUGGGAUGAUAAUUAUAUCUGUUUUGAAUGAGAAUGAAUGAAAUUAAACGAAGAGAUAUAACAAAUGCAUGGCAAUAUAAUUUAAAGAAGAGAAUAUAACCUCGACAUUUUGAUCUCAAGAUUCUAAAACAUAGUUUAACCAUGUUACCAAAUGAAGAUACAUGAAAGAAUGAAUUUAAUGUGGAAGAAUAUUUCAAAAAUUUAAAGGAGAGGAAUUUAAUAAUAAUAUCAAAAUGAUCGCGAAAGAAAAUUUAAACGAAUCAGAAAUUAUUGAAUUUUAAAUAUUGAAAAAUUGUAAUUGUCUAAAUUGGAAUGCUUUGAUGGAAACAACUUUUAUAAAAUUCAUUUACAUUAUCUCCCCAUGAAAUGUAAAUUAUAUAUAUUUUGUAAUUUAUAAUUUAUAAUUUAUAAUGUAAUAAAAUUUAUAUUAUUAUUAAAUUAAGGGAUAACUAUAAAAA
Molecule: long non-coding RNA, 1188 nt
Organism: Apis cerana (Asiatic honeybee)
Lineage: Eukaryota; Metazoa; Arthropoda; Insecta; Hymenoptera; Apidae
Source: RefSeq, a predicted model, not a curated record